Molecule: ribosomal RNA, 235 nt
Filed under: uncultured bacterium
Lineage: Bacteria
Description: partial 16S ribosomal RNA
Rfam family: Bacterial small subunit ribosomal RNA
Source: RNAcentral
CGGACGGGUGAGUAACGCGUGGGUAACCUGCCUCACACUGGGGGAUAACAGUUAGAAAUAGCUGCUAAUACCGCAUAAGCGCACGGUUCCGCAUGGAACAGUGUGAAAAACUCCGGUGGUGUGAGAUGGACCCGCGUCUGAUUAGCCAGUUGGCGGGGUAACGGCCCACCAAAGCGACGAUCAGUAGCCGGCCUGAGAGGGUGAACGGCCACAUUGGGACUGAGACACGGCCCAG